This is a long non-coding RNA of Sinocyclocheilus anshuiensis, 578 nucleotides long. RefSeq lists it as uncharacterized. NCBI's taxonomy places the organism in Eukaryota, Metazoa, Chordata, Actinopteri, Cypriniformes, Cyprinidae. The record is from RefSeq and is a predicted model, not a curated record. The transcript is spliced from 3 exons.
CACUGUGCUACUGUCUUUGGAGCUGUCAGUGAGGGCAAGGUGGAGAUCUGGGACCUGAGAGUCAGCAGUCUGGACCUGACGAUUGUGAGCAUGACCAGUCCAGGAGUGAAUCCGACGGCUCUGCUGUUCACCCCUGAGACAGACUGUGUUCUGGUGGGGGACAGUGAGGGGCAGGUCACUGUGAACAAGCUGAAGAACCUGCCAGCUGGAGGCAGCACACAGCUCUUGUGUAGGUGGAAAUGUUGGAGGAUGUAAUUCGGUCCACACUGUCCAGCCAACACACAUUAGGAAAGACUGACGGAGGUGCAUAGGAGGGUCAGGCUGUUUGUCUUUACCUCUUCAUCAUCAUAAUUUAUAUUCUCUGGCAGACUGAGCGACUCCAUUUUACAUAACAAUGGGAUUACAGCACAUUGCCUGUUUGUGCCUUAUUGUGCUUCUUUGUGGGAAUAAAUAUACUCCUACAAAACAAUAAGCAAUCUUCUUAGGUAAAUGUCUAAAAACCUAGACUAAAUGUCUAAAUCUUCCACUUAAUUAUAGUAUGGUGAAUUAUUUGUAAUAACAGAGAUAACAGGCUUGUA